RNAcentral lists this ribosomal RNA (733 nucleotides) under uncultured bacterium. Its description in RNAcentral is "bacterial SSU rRNA". It matches the Rfam family "Bacterial small subunit ribosomal RNA", at positions 36 to 764 of the family's 1533-position model. The record is from RNAcentral.
CUGGCGGCAGGCCUAACACAUGCAAGUCGAGCGGUAGAGAGGUGCUCGCACCUCUUGAGAGCGGCGGACGGGUGAGUAAUACCUAGGAAUCUGCCUGGUAGUGGGGGAUAACGUUCGGAAACGGACGCUAAUACCGCAUACGUCCUACGGGAGAAAGCAGGGGACCUUCGGGCCUUGCGCUAUCAGAUGAGCCUAGGUCGGAUUAGCUAGUUGGUGAGGUAAUGGCUCACCAAGGCUACGAUCCGUAACUGGUCUGAGAGGAUGAUCAGUCACACUGGAACUGAGACACGGUCCAGACUCCUACGGGAGGCAGCAGUGGGGAAUAUUGGACAAUGGGCGAAAGCCUGAUCCAGCCAUGCCGCGUGUGUGAAGAAGGUCUUCGGAUUGUAAAGCACUUUAAGUUGGGAGGAAGGGCAUUAACCUAAUACGUUAGUGCUUUGACGUUACCGACAGAAUAAGCACCGGCUAACUCUGUGCCAGCAGCCGCGGUAAUACAGAGGGUGCAAGCGUUAAUCGGAAUUACUGGGCGUAAAGCGCGCGUAGGUGGUUUGUUAAGUUGAAUGUGAAAUCCCCGGGCUCAACCUGGGAACUGCAUCCAAAACUGGCAAGCUAGAGUAUGGUAGAGGGUAGUGGAAUUUCCUGUGUAGCGGUGAAAUGCGUAGAUAUAGGAAGGAACACCAGUGGCGAAGGCGACUACCUGGACUGAUACUGACACUGAGGUGCGAAAGCGUGG